RNAcentral lists this microRNA precursor (55 nucleotides) under Microcaecilia unicolor. RNAcentral's name for it is "Mun-Mir-34-P2b_pre stem-loop". The record is from RNAcentral. Lineage: Eukaryota; Metazoa; Chordata; Amphibia; Gymnophiona; Siphonopidae.
AGGCAGUGUAGUUAGCUGAUUUGAAUCACUACCAAUCACUAACCACAUAGCCAGG